GACGAAACGUGCGAACGUUGUUCGGAAUCACUGGGCUUAAAGGGCGCGUAGGCGGCCAGGCAAGUCAGGGGUGAAAGCCUCCAGCUCAACUGGAGAAGUGCCUUUGAUACUGCCCGGCUCGAGGGAGGUAGGGGCAGAUGGAACUUCCGGUGGAGCGGUGAAAUGCGUUGAUAUCGGAAGGAACGCCGGUGGCGAAAGCGAUCUGCUGGCCCUCUUCUGACGCUGAGGCGCGAAAGCUAGGGGAGCAAACGGG
This 253-nucleotide ribosomal RNA is filed under the name uncultured bacterium. RNAcentral describes it as "partial 16S ribosomal RNA". It matches the Rfam family "Bacterial small subunit ribosomal RNA", at positions 524 to 776 of the family's 1533-position model. The record is from RNAcentral.